Molecule: ribosomal RNA, 467 nt
Filed under: uncultured bacterium
Lineage: Bacteria
Description: bacterial SSU rRNA
Rfam family: Bacterial small subunit ribosomal RNA
Source: RNAcentral
AUUGAACGCUGGCGGCAUGCCUUACACAUGCAAGUCGAACGGCAGCACGGGAGCAAUCCUGGUGGCGAGUGGCGAACGGGUGAGUAAUAUAUCGGAACGUGCCCAGUCGUGGGGAUAACGUAGCGAAAGCUACGCUAAUACCGCAUACGAUCUAUGGAUGAAAGCGGGGGAUCGCAAGACCUCGCGCGAUUGGAGCGGCCGAUAUCAGAUUAGGUAGUUGGUGAGGUAAAGGCUCACCAAGCCGACGAUCUGUAGCUGGUCUGAGAGGACGACCAGCCACACUGGGACUGAGACACGGCCCAGACUCCUACGGGAGGCAGCAGUGGGGAAUUUUGGACAAUGGGCGCAAGCCUGAUCCAGCAAUGCCGCGUGCAGGAUGAAGGCCUUCGGGUUGUAAACUGCUUUUGUUACGGAACGAAACGGUGAGCUCUAAUACAGUUUGCUAAUGACGGUACCGUAAGAAUAAG